ACGCACUGGCCCAACUGAUUGAUGGUGCUUGCACCUGAUUGACGAUGGAUUACCAGUGAGUGGCGGACGGGUGAGUAACACGUAGGUAACCUGCCCCGGAGCGGGGGAUAACAUUUGGAAACAGAUGCUAAUACCGCAUAACAACAAAAGCCACAUGGAUUUUGUUUGAAAGAUGGCUUUGGCUAUCACUCUGGGAUGGACCUGCGGUGCAUUAGCUAGUUGGUAAGGUAACGGCUUACCAAGGCGAUGAUGCAUAGCCGAGUUGAGAGACUGAUCGGCCACAAUGGAACUGAGACACGGUCCAUACUCCUACGGGAGGCAGCAGUAGGGAAUCUUCCACAAUGGGCGCAAGCCUGAUGGAGCAACACCGCGUGAGUGAAGAAGGGUUUCGGCUCGUAAAGCUCUGUUGUUGGAGAAGAACGUGCGUGAGAGUAACUGUUCACGCAGUGACGGUAUCCAACCAGAAAGUCACGGCUAACUACGUGCCAGCAGCCGCGGUAA
This 501-nucleotide ribosomal RNA is filed under the name uncultured bacterium. RNAcentral describes it as "bacterial SSU rRNA". It matches the Rfam family "Bacterial small subunit ribosomal RNA", at positions 53 to 523 of the family's 1533-position model. The record is from RNAcentral.